This 325-nucleotide long non-coding RNA is filed under the name Prunus persica (peach). RNAcentral describes it as "long non-coding RNA (PPER_LNC000720)". Lineage: Eukaryota; Viridiplantae; Streptophyta; Magnoliopsida; Rosales; Rosaceae. The record is from RNAcentral.
UCGCUUCUGGGCUUGUUCUCCGGCCAGGACGAUGAGGAGGCGGCGGGUUUCUUCGUCCGCUUCACGGAAGUUUUGGGUGGAGAGGUGCUGCUGUAGGAGGUCAAAGGAGAUGGCUUGGGUGGAGGAGGGUGUGGAGAGUGAAGUGGUGGGUGAGAUUGAGAAGGUUUUGGUGGAGGAGAGAGAAGAAAUGCUUAUGGUGUUUGGGGUGUUUGUGGUGGUGGGUUUGAGGAAGAGAGUGGAGGAGAGUGUGGAAGGAGCUAUCUCUGUGUGGUGGUGGUGGUUGAGGAGUGAGUGGUGAUUGUGGCAUAUGGAUUCGAAAGACUUG